UACUCGAGUGGCGAACGGGUGAGUAACACGUGGGUGAUCUGCCCUGCACUUCGGGAUAAGCCUGGGAAACUGGGUCUAAUACCGGAUAGGACGAUGGUUUGGAUGCCAUUGUGGAAAGUUUUUCGGUGUUGGAUGAGCUCGCGGCCUAUCAGCUUGUUGGUGGGGUAAUGGCCUACCAAGGCGUCGACGGGUAGCCGGCCUGAGAGGGUGGACGGCCACAUUGGGACUGAGAUACGGCCCAG
This 242-nucleotide ribosomal RNA is filed under the name uncultured Actinomycetales bacterium. RNAcentral's name for it is "partial 16S ribosomal RNA". It matches the Rfam family "Bacterial small subunit ribosomal RNA", at positions 88 to 334 of the family's 1533-position model. Lineage: Bacteria; Bacillati; Actinomycetota; Actinomycetes; Actinomycetales. The record is from RNAcentral.